UACGGGGGGGGCAAGCGUUGUUCGGAAUUACUGGGCGUAAAGGGCUCGUAGGCGGCCAACUAAGUCAGACGUGAAAUCCCUCGGCUUAACCGGGGAACUGCGUCUGAUACUGGAUGGCUUGAGUUCGGGAGAGGGAUGCGGAAUUCCCAGUGUAGAGGUGAAAUUCGUAGAUAUUGGGAAGAACACCGGUGGCGAAGGCGGCCAUCUGGACCGUAUCUGACGCUGAGGCGCGAAAGCGUGGGGAGCAAACAGG
RNAcentral lists this ribosomal RNA (253 nucleotides) under uncultured bacterium. Its description in RNAcentral is "partial 16S ribosomal RNA". It matches the Rfam family "Bacterial small subunit ribosomal RNA", at positions 524 to 776 of the family's 1533-position model. The record is from RNAcentral.